CCGGCGCACGGGUGAGUAACACGUAUCCAACCUGCCGUCUACUCUUGGACAGCCUUCUGAAAGGAAGAUUAAUACAAGAUGGCAUCAUGAGUCCGCAUGUUCACAUGAUUAAAGGUAUUCCGGUAGACGGUGGGGAUGCGUUCCAUUAGAUAGUAGGCGGGGUAACGGCCCACCUAGUCUUCGAUGGAUAGGGGUUCUGAGAGGAAGGUCCCCCACAUUGGAACUGAGACACGGUCCAA
This 239-nucleotide ribosomal RNA is filed under the name uncultured bacterium. Its description in RNAcentral is "partial 16S ribosomal RNA". It matches the Rfam family "Bacterial small subunit ribosomal RNA", at positions 95 to 334 of the family's 1533-position model. The record is from RNAcentral.